GCCCCGUUAGCUCAAUUGGAUAGAGUAUCUCGCUUCUAACGAGAUUGUUAUAGGUUCGAAUCCUAUACGGGGUGCCA
This 77-nucleotide transfer RNA is filed under the name Pseudomonas sp. Its description in RNAcentral is "tRNA-Arg". It matches the Rfam family "tRNA". From Rfam's summary of the family: Transfer RNA (tRNA) molecules are approximately 80 nucleotides in length. Their secondary structure includes four short double-helical elements and three loops (D, anti-codon, and T loops). Further hydrogen bonds mediate the characteristic L-shaped molecular structure. tRNAs have two regions of fundamental functional importance: the anti-codon, which is responsible for specific mRNA codon recognition, and the 3' end, to which the tRNAs corresponding amino acid is attached (by aminoacyl-tRNA synthetases). tRNAs cope with the degeneracy of the genetic code in two manners: having more than one tRNA (with a specific anti-codon) for a particular amino acid; and 'wobble' base-pairing, i.e. permitting non-standard base-pairing at the 3rd anti-codon position. Lineage: Bacteria; Pseudomonadati; Pseudomonadota; Gammaproteobacteria; Pseudomonadales; Pseudomonadaceae. The record is from RNAcentral.